This 253-nucleotide ribosomal RNA is filed under the name uncultured bacterium. Its description in RNAcentral is "partial 16S ribosomal RNA". It matches the Rfam family "Bacterial small subunit ribosomal RNA", at positions 524 to 776 of the family's 1533-position model. The record is from RNAcentral.
UACGGAGGAUCCAAGCGUUAUCCGGAUUUAUUGGGUUUAAAGGGUGCGUAGGCGGAUUGAUAAGUUAGAGGUGAAAUGUCCGAGCUCAACUCGGGAACUGCCUCUAAUACUGUUGAUCUAGAGAGUAGAUGCGGUAGGCGGAAUGUAUGGUGUAGCGGUGAAAUGCUUAGAGAUCAUACAGAACACCGAUUGCGAAGGCAGCUUACCAAUCUAUAUCUGACGUUGAGGCUCGAAAGCGUGGGGAGCAAACAGG